Molecule: ribosomal RNA, 301 nt
Filed under: uncultured bacterium
Lineage: Bacteria
Description: partial 16S ribosomal RNA
Rfam family: Bacterial small subunit ribosomal RNA
Source: RNAcentral
CAGUAGCCGCGGUAAUACGAAGGGGGCUAGCGUUGUUCGGGAUCACUGGGCGUAAAGCGCACGUAGGCGGACUUUUAAGUCAGGGGUGAAAUCCCAAGGCUCAACCUUGGAACUGCCUUUGAUACUGGAAGUCUUGAGUUCGGGAGAGGUGAGUGGAACUGCGAGUGUAGAGGUGAAAUUCGUAGAUAUUCGCAAGAACACCAGUGGCGAAGGCGGCUCACUGGCCCGAUACUGACGCUGAGGUGCGAAAGCGUGGGGAGCAAACAGGAUUAGAUACCCCCGUAGUCCCUGUCUCUUAUAC